UACGUAGGCAGCAAGCGUUGUUCGGAAUUACUGGGCGUAAAGAGUGUGUAGGCGGUUCUCUAUGUUCGGUGUGAAAUCUCCCGGCUUAACUGGGAGGGUGCGCCGAAAACUGGAGGGCUUGAGUAUGGGAGAGGAAAGCGGAAUUCCUGGUGUAGCGGUGAAAUGCGUAGAUAUCAGGAGGAACACCUGCGGUGUAGACGGCCUUCUGGACCAUCACUGACGCUGAGACACGAAAGCGUGGGGAGCAAACAGG
Molecule: ribosomal RNA, 253 nt
Filed under: uncultured bacterium
Lineage: Bacteria
Description: partial 16S ribosomal RNA
Rfam family: Bacterial small subunit ribosomal RNA
Source: RNAcentral